RNAcentral lists this transfer RNA (75 nucleotides) under Dehalococcoidia bacterium. RNAcentral's name for it is "tRNA-Gly". It matches the Rfam family "tRNA". From Rfam's summary of the family: Transfer RNA (tRNA) molecules are approximately 80 nucleotides in length. Their secondary structure includes four short double-helical elements and three loops (D, anti-codon, and T loops). Further hydrogen bonds mediate the characteristic L-shaped molecular structure. tRNAs have two regions of fundamental functional importance: the anti-codon, which is responsible for specific mRNA codon recognition, and the 3' end, to which the tRNAs corresponding amino acid is attached (by aminoacyl-tRNA synthetases). tRNAs cope with the degeneracy of the genetic code in two manners: having more than one tRNA (with a specific anti-codon) for a particular amino acid; and 'wobble' base-pairing, i.e. permitting non-standard base-pairing at the 3rd anti-codon position. The record is from RNAcentral. Lineage: Bacteria; Bacillati; Chloroflexota; Dehalococcoidia.
GCGGGCGUAGCUCAGUGGUAGAGCAUCUGCCUUCCAAGCAGAGGGUCGUGGGUUCGAUCCCCAUCGCCCGCUCCA